GCUGGAAACGGCGUCUAAUACUGGAUACGAACCACGAAGGCAUCUUCAGUGGUUGGAAAGAUUUUUUGGUCUGGGAUGGGCUCGCGGCCUAUCAGCUAGUUGGUGAGGUAAUGGCUCACCAAGGCGUCGACGGGUAGCCGGCCUGAGAGGGUGACCGGCCACACUGGGACUGAGACACGGCCCAGACUCCUACGGGAGGCAGCAGUGGGGAAUAUUGCACAAUGGGCGCAAGCCUGAUGCAGCAACGCCGCGUGAGGGAUGACGGCCUUCGGGUUGUAAACCUCUUUUAGCAAGGAAGAAGCGAAAGUGACGGUACUUGCAGAAAAAGCGCCGGCUAACUACGUGCCAGCAGCCGCGGUAAUACGUAGGGCGCAAGCGUUAUCCGGAAUUAUUGGGCGUAAAGAGCUCGUAGGCGGUUUGUCGCGUCUGCUGUGAAAAACCCGAAGCUCAACCUCGGGCCUGCAGUGGGUACGGGCAGACUAGAGUGCGGUAGGGGAGAUUGGAAUUCCUGGUGUAGCGGUGGAAUGCGCAGAUAUCAGGAGGAACACCGAUGGCGAAGGCAGAUCUCUGGGCCGUAACUGACGCUGAGGAGCGAAAGGGUGGGGGAGCAAACAGGCUUAGAUACCCUGGUAGUCCACCCCGUAAACGUUGGGAACUAGUUGUGGGGUCCAUUCCACGGAUUCCGUGACGCAGCUAACGCAUUAAGUUCCCCGCCUGGGGAGUACGGCCGCAAGGCUAAAACUCAAAGGAAUUGACGGGGACCCGCACAAGCGGCGGAGCAUGCGGAUUAAUUCGAUGCAACGCGAAGAACCUUACCAAGGCUUGACAUACACGAGAACGCUGCAGAAAUGUAGAACUCUUUGGACACUCGUGAACAGGUGGUGCAUGGUUGUCGUCAGCUCGUGUCGUGAGAUGUUGGGUUAAGUCCCGCAACGAGCGCAACCCUCGUUCUAUGUUGCCAGCACGUAAUGGUGGGAACUCAUGGGAUACUGCCGGGGUCAACUCGGAGGAAGGUGGGGAUGACGUCAAAUCAUCAUGCCCCUUAUGUCUUGGGCUUCACGCAUGCUACAAUGGCCGGUACAAAGGGCUGCAAUACCGUGAGGUGGAGCGAAUCCCAAAAAGCCGGUCCCAGUUCGGAUUGAGGUCUGCAACUCGACCUCAUGAAGUCGGAGUCGCUAGUAAUCGCAGAU
This 1190-nucleotide ribosomal RNA is filed under the name Microbacterium thalassium. Its description in RNAcentral is "bacterial SSU rRNA". It matches the Rfam family "Bacterial small subunit ribosomal RNA", at positions 149 to 1349 of the family's 1533-position model. The record is from RNAcentral. Lineage: Bacteria; Bacillati; Actinomycetota; Actinomycetes; Micrococcales; Microbacteriaceae.